RNAcentral lists this long non-coding RNA (216 nucleotides) under Elaeis guineensis (African oil palm). Its description in RNAcentral is "long non-coding RNA (EGUI_LNC022868)". Lineage: Eukaryota; Viridiplantae; Streptophyta; Magnoliopsida; Arecales; Arecaceae. The record is from RNAcentral.
CAAUUGUGAGCAUUUAAACUUGCUCCGUCAACACAUUGAUGGGAUCCGAUCUAGGGGGUUGCUCUCCGAUAUCUCACACAUUAGGUAUGCUGUGCAAAGAAGAUUGCCGAUAAAAUCUUGUUCGCAUCAUCUUCUUCUAGAAAAAGGGAUGAGCUCCUUCCUCUAAUGUCAAUCUAUUGUUGUGUCUCUCUGAUUGGGUGAUGCGAUAGAGUAGCU